RNAcentral lists this ribosomal RNA (465 nucleotides) under uncultured bacterium. RNAcentral's name for it is "partial 16S ribosomal RNA". It matches the Rfam family "Bacterial small subunit ribosomal RNA", at positions 338 to 795 of the family's 1533-position model. The record is from RNAcentral.
CCUACGUGAGGCAGCAGUGGGGAAUAUUGCGCAAUGGGCGAAAGCCUGACGCAGCGACGCCGCGUGAGGGAUGAAGGUCUUCGGAUCGUAAACCUCUGUCAGCAGGGAAGAACGGUCACUGUGCUAAUCAGCAGUGAAUUGACGGUACCUGCAAAGGAAGCACCGGCUAACUCCGUGCCAGCAGCCGCGGUAAUACGGAGGGUGCGAGCGUUAAUCGGAAUUACUGGGCGUAAAGCGCUCGUAGGAGGUAUGUCAAGUCAAGGGUGAAAUCCCCGGGCUCACGGUGGGAACUGCCUUUGAAACUGGCAAACUGGAGUGUGUGAGAGGAUAGUGGAAUUCCAGGUGUAGGAGUGAAAUCCGUAGAUAUCUGGAGGAACAUCAGUGGCGAAGGCGACUAUCUGGCACAUAACUGACGCUGAGGAGCGAAAGCGUGGGUAGCAAACAGGAUUAGAUACCCGAGUAGUC